UCGGACAUGCCCGACCCGACGCCGAUCGCGAGGACGAUCAGCGCCGCGGUGAUCACGAUCAUGAUGCCGGGCGCGCCGCCCAUCAGCACCAUCGCGCCGACCACGAGCACGGUCAGCGCGAUCACGAUCGCGUGCAUGAUCCACAGCAGCGCCGGGGUGCGGACGGCGUAGCGAACGGGCUCCGGCAUGCAGCCAGACGCUAUGUCAGCUGCACGCCGGGGUCCAGCGCUACAUCUCGACGUGGCCGCGG
RNAcentral lists this ribosomal RNA (250 nucleotides) under uncultured archaeon. RNAcentral describes it as "partial 16S ribosomal RNA". The record is from RNAcentral.